Molecule: ribosomal RNA, 468 nt
Filed under: uncultured bacterium
Lineage: Bacteria
Description: partial 16S ribosomal RNA
Rfam family: Bacterial small subunit ribosomal RNA
Source: RNAcentral
GACGAACGCUGGCGGCGUGCUUAACACAUGCCAGUCGAACGGAAAGGCCCUGCUUUUGUGGGGUGCUCGAGUGGCGAACGGGUGAGUAACACGUGAGUAACCUGCCCUUGACUUUGGGAUAACUUCAGGAAACUGGGGCUAAUACCGGAUAGGAGCUCCUGCUGCAUGGGGGGGGUUGGAAAGUUUCGGCGGUUGGGGAUGGACUCGCGGCUUAUCAGCUUGUUGGUGUGGUAGUGGCGUACCAAGGGUUUGACGGAUAGCCGGCCUGAGAGGGUGACCGGCCACAUUGGGACUGAGAUACGGCCCAGACUCGAACGGGAGGCAGCAGUGGGGAAUAUUGCACAAUGGGCGGAAGCCUGGUGCAGCAACGCCGCGUGCGGGAUGACGGCCUUCGGGUUGUAAACCGCUUUCGCCUGUGACGAAGCGUGAGUGACGGUAAUGGGUAAAGAAGCACCGGCUAACUACGUG